Molecule: ribosomal RNA, 423 nt
Filed under: Roseburia sp. 40_7
Lineage: Bacteria; Bacillati; Bacillota; Clostridia; Lachnospirales; Lachnospiraceae
Description: bacterial SSU rRNA
Rfam family: Bacterial small subunit ribosomal RNA
Source: RNAcentral
UUUUAUAUGAGAGUUUGAUCCUGGCUCAGGAUGAACGCUGGCGGCGUGCUUAACACAUGCAAGUCGAACGAAGCACUUUACCACGAUUCCUUCGGGAUGACGGUUUAGUGACUGAGUGGCGGACGGGUGAGUAACGCGUGGGGAACCUGCCCCAUACCGGGGGAUAACAGCCGGAAACGGCUGCUAAUACCGCAUAAGCGCACAGUACCGCAUGGUACGGUGUGAAAAACUCCGGUGGUAUGGGAUGGACCCGCGUCUGAUUAGCCAGUUGGCGGGGUAACGGCCCACCAAAGCGACGAUCAGUAGCCGGCCUGAGAGGGCGACCGGCCACAUUGGGACUGAGACACGGCCCAGACUCCUACGGGAGGCAGCAGUGGGGAAUAUUGCACAAUGGGGGAAACCCUGAUGCAGCGACGCCGCGUG